AUUUCCGUUGCCAACUUCAGAUUGAGAGGCAGAUUUCCUUGGAGCUCAGGUAUUUCCAAGGUUUAAAUAGCUUCAAAUCGAUUUCUCCAUGAUUCUUUGUGGUAACCCCUGAAUUUGGUGAUGGGACCUGUGUUUUAUGAGAGGUUUUCCGAUGCCAAUUAACUUGAUGGGACCUGUGUUUUUGUUCAGUCUGGGAUUGUUUCAUCAGUUCAUUGUAGAACAGGGAUGUUAGAUUUUUAUUUUUUUACCUGUAUUCUUUUAUUUUUAAAAAAUAAAAUUGGUGUGUGAAUUUUGUAUAUAGGAAAGAGCAUAUAGAAACAGAUGUUUGCAUUUGGAUUGUUGUCAGUAAGAAUCGAUUGGUGUGGUAAAUAAUAUUAUAUAUACUUUGUGCUGCA
Molecule: long non-coding RNA, 395 nt
Filed under: Populus tremula
Lineage: Eukaryota; Viridiplantae; Streptophyta; Magnoliopsida; Malpighiales; Salicaceae
Description: long non-coding RNA (PTRE_LNC001505)
Source: RNAcentral